ACUACCAUUAUCAUAUAGCGCGGGGGGAAAAAAAAACCCACCCGGGGGUUGUGUCCCUGGUAAGGGGGAGAGUGAACAGCCAAACAGUCUCAAAAUUUGAAUCUCUGCGUCCUCGGGUGUCGAGAUUUAUAUAUGUAGAGGAUACGUUUGGGGCGAUGCAUUCACAGUUGCUCCGAACAACACGCCUUAGAGGAGGAGAACACUCCUAUGGUGGGAUAGCAAGCCUCCGUAAAGCUCAUUUCAUGAGUCGAGUAGAGUGGUAAGGGUGCUCUAAUUGGGAGGUAAAUUUAUUUUAUAGUAAAAUAUUGUCCAGAGCCGAGUAGCGCACAAGUAGAGUGAUGUAAAGAAGAAAAGCACUUCGAAAAGAGGGUUGAAUAGCACGGCAAAUUGUAGAGAGGGAAGGGUUGGGGACCAGACCUUUUCCUAGCGAAUCAUCCGGUGUUUUCACCGGUGCACUUCGCGAGGUUUAGGCCAGCAUCGGUUGUCGUAGGGGGAUAAAAAAUCUGGGAAGAAAGCUCCUCCGGGAGGGUUAUAACCCUCUGCAUAAUACCCUUACGGGGACCGAGGACCGCGCUUUGGCAAGGAGGUGGGCGUAAUGGUGUUCAAAGACCCCUCUUGAAACACGGACCAAGGAGUGUAACAUUUGUGCGAGUGUUUGGGGGUUUAACCCCCACGCGUAAAAAAAAAGAAAGGAGGGGAGAGCCCUCCCGGGUGCAUCAUCGACCGAUCCUGAUGUCUUCGGAUGGAUUUGAGUAAGAGCAUAACUGUUGGGACCCGAAAGAUGGUGAACUAUGCAUGAAUAGGGUGAAGCCAGAGGAAACUCUGGUGGAGGCUCGCAGCGGUUCUGACGUGCAAAUCGAUCGUCAAAUUUGUGCAUUAGGGGCGAAAGA
This 890-nucleotide ribosomal RNA is filed under the name Xylaria arbuscula. RNAcentral's name for it is "partial large subunit ribosomal RNA". It matches the Rfam family "Eukaryotic large subunit ribosomal RNA", at positions 1 to 930 of the family's 3401-position model. Lineage: Eukaryota; Fungi; Ascomycota; Sordariomycetes; Xylariales; Xylariaceae. The record is from RNAcentral.